UCCGUAGGUGAACCUGCGGAAGGAUCAUCAGCAAAGCUUUGAAAAAGUCGCUGUCCAGCCAUUUGUGGCGCAGCGACCAGACUCCUGAGUGGGUCUGAACGCGUCUUGAGCAAAGAUCUGUUUCUUUUUUUCCAUCAUAAAAGCACAACUUUUGACAACGGAUCUCUUGGCUCUCGCAACGAUGAAGAACGCGGCAAAAUGCGAUAACUGGUGUGAAUUGCAGAAUUCAGCGAAUCAUCGAAUCUUUGAACGCAACUUGCGCUCGCGGGUCUCCCCCCGCGAGCAUGCCUGUUCGAGCACCGCAAACGACGAAUCCAUCACCCUUCCCACGAAAAGGUGGCGCAAGCCCCUGCGGCGCGGGACGGGUGGAGAUUGGGUGCCUUUGUCCGACAGGGGCCCUUGUCGGACAUCCGAAAUUGGGAGCGCUGUGCGUGGACGCCACGCGCCGCCACUUCCUCUUUUGGAUCAAAAGUUGGCGGUUCGAGCGCGCGCAUCCACCCCAGCCACAUUCUCACACUGAAUCUGAACCCGUGGUCUCGGAUCAGGCAAGACGACCCGCUGAACUUAAGCAUAUCAAUAAGGCGGGAGGGGAAGGUCGGACUGGCCAAGGGCACACAGGGGGGGAUA
RNAcentral lists this ribosomal RNA (627 nucleotides) under uncultured fungus. Its description in RNAcentral is "eukaryotic LSU rRNA". The stretch from base 147 to 302 matches the Rfam family "5.8S ribosomal RNA". Lineage: Eukaryota; Fungi. The record is from RNAcentral.